CCUCGGGAGGCAGCAGUGGGGAAUAUUGGACAAUGGGGGCAACCCUGAUCCAGCAAUGCCGCGGUGUGUGAUGAAGGCCUUAGGGUUGUAAAGCACUUUCACUGGUGAAGAUGAUGACGGUAACCAGAGAAGAAGCCCCGGCUAACUUCGUGCCAGCAGCCGCGGUAAUACGAAGGGGGCGAGCGUUGUUCGGAAUUACUGGGCGUAAAGGGCGCGUAGGCGGUCUUUUAAGUUAGGCGUGAAAUCCCCGGGCUCAACCUGGGAACUGCGCUUAAGACUGGAAGACUAGAAAACGGAAGAGGGUAGUGGAAUUCCCAGUGUAGAGGUGAAAUUCGUAGAUAUUGGGAAGAACACCAGUGGCGAAAGCGGCUACCUGGUCCGAUUUUGACGCUGAGGCGCGAAAGCGUGGGGAGCAAACAGGAUUAGAUACCCUGGUAGUCCACGCCGUAAACGAUGUCUGCUAGAUGUCGGGGGGUUGCCCCUCGGUGUCGCCGCUAACGCAUUAAGCAGACCGCCUGGGAAGUACGGUCGCAAGAUUAAAACUCAAAGGAAUUGACGG
RNAcentral lists this ribosomal RNA (559 nucleotides) under uncultured bacterium. RNAcentral's name for it is "bacterial SSU rRNA". It matches the Rfam family "Bacterial small subunit ribosomal RNA", at positions 339 to 916 of the family's 1533-position model. The record is from RNAcentral.